Long non-coding RNA from Centropristis striata (black sea bass), 881 nucleotides. RefSeq lists it as uncharacterized. The record is from RefSeq and is a predicted model, not a curated record. Lineage: Eukaryota; Metazoa; Chordata; Actinopteri; Perciformes; Serranidae. The transcript is spliced from 3 exons.
AGAUUUACAGCUUGACCAUUUAUUUAAUGAUAAACACUACUUCACCUAAGAGACUUGAGUAUCCAGUUCUUCGUUGACCUUCAGCAUUCAGUUGUUUGUCUUCACCUUUUCAGGUUUCCUGUGUCCAGCAUCUUCAAGACAGACUAAGCUAACUUUUCAUAUUUUUCGCACAUUUAUAUUUAGGUUAGGUUAGGAGUAGGUUAGGUUUAUAGUAGAGUAUUUAGUUUGUAUAGUUUAGCUUUUUAUGCUGGUCUAGGGACAGUUAAGUUAGCAAAUUAAUUUAGUUCAGAUCACUUACAGUUGCAUAUUAUUGUUACAAUUGUGUUAGUUGUGAGUUAUUGUUGUACAGGCUAUUGUAUAUUGCAGGACCAAGUGAGACGAGGAAGACCACUGCUUCCAAGAUGCCUCUCAGAAAGUGCGUUGGACAAGUCUCGACCUUGCAGAUCCUGCCCCACUUAGCCCAACCACUUCCGGCCAUGGGGUACCUCAAAGACCUCCGUCAACUAGCCGGCUGUGGAUGAUGGAUAACGCACCCACAACUCCUUCUCCAGUCUACAAGGUAUGGAUUUGUUUUUUUUCCCCAUCACAGUGGACACAGACAUGGCCUGAUAAUACAAUCUGCUGUCUUAACUACUUCCUUUGAAUAAUAAAAUAUUAAUUCACAAUUGAGUAUUUAUAAUGUAUGAAUAAAUUUGGUAUUGUGUGUCAUCAGGUUCUGAAAAUACAGACACCCCCACAGUCCAAGAAAAGCUGGAUGACCUCUGGAUCCACUAAAAAAUUCUUCAAUUGUUAAUUCUGCACAAAGUGAUACACAAAACAUUGUAUGUAUUCCAUUUCAACAAACCCAAACAUGAAAUGUAUAUUUAAAUACAUGACUUAAU